This 327-nucleotide ribosomal RNA is filed under the name uncultured eukaryote. RNAcentral's name for it is "partial 18S ribosomal RNA". It matches the Rfam family "Eukaryotic small subunit ribosomal RNA", at positions 1470 to 1796 of the family's 1831-position model. The record is from RNAcentral.
CCCUUAGAUGUUCUGGGCCGCACGCGCGCUACACUGACGAAUGCAACGAGCUUAUAACCUUGGCCGAAAGGUCUGGGUAAUCUCCAAAUUUCGUCGUGAUGGGGAUAGAUUAUUGCAAUUAUUAAUCUUCAACGAGGAAUGCCUAGUAAGCGCAAGUCAUCAGCUUGCGUUGAUUACGUCCCCGCCCUUUGUACACACCGCCCGUCGCUCCUACCGAUUGAAUGGUCCGGUGAAGCGCUCGGACCGCGGCCUCUUGACGGGUCUCCGUCGAUUGGCUGUGGGAAGUUCGUUAAACCUUAUCAUUUAGAGGAAGGAGAAGUCGUANCA